ACGCGUGAGGAACCUGCCUCAAAGAGGGGGACAACAGUUGGAAACGACUGCUAAUACCGCAUAAGCCCACGACCCGGCAUCGGGUAGAGGGAAAAGGAGCAAUCCGCUUUGAGAUGGCCUCGCGUCCGAUUAGCUAGUUGGUGAGGUAAGGCCCACCAAGGCGACGAUCGGUAGCCGGACUGAGAGGUUGAACGGCCACAUUGGGACUGAGACACGGCCCAG
This 222-nucleotide ribosomal RNA is filed under the name uncultured bacterium. Its description in RNAcentral is "partial 16S ribosomal RNA". It matches the Rfam family "Bacterial small subunit ribosomal RNA", at positions 113 to 334 of the family's 1533-position model. The record is from RNAcentral.